GAUGAACGCUGGCGGCGUGCCUAAUACAUGCAAGUCGAGCGAACAGACGAGGAGCUUGCUCCUCUGACGUUAGCGGCGGACGGGUGAGUAACACGUGGAUAACCUACCUAUAAGACUGGGAUAACUUCGGGAAACCGGAGCUAAUACCGGAUAAUAUAUUGAACCGCAUGGUUCAAUAGUGAAAGACGGUUUUGCUGUCACUUAUAGAUGGAUCCGCGCCGCGUUAGCUAGUUGGUAAGGUAACGGCUUACCAAGGCAACGAUGCGUAGCCGACCUGAGAGGCGGAUCGGCCACACGGGAGCUGAGACACGGUCCAGACUCCUACGGGAGGCAGCAGUAGGGAAUGUUCCGCAAUGGGCGAAAGCUUGACGGAGCAACGCCGCGUGAGUGAUGAAGGUCUUCGGAUCGUAAAACUCUGUUAUUGGGGAAAAACAAAUGUGUAAGUAACUAUGCACGUCUUGACGGUACCUAAUCAGAAAGCAACGGCUAACUACGUG
Molecule: ribosomal RNA, 497 nt
Filed under: uncultured bacterium
Lineage: Bacteria
Description: partial 16S ribosomal RNA
Rfam family: Bacterial small subunit ribosomal RNA
Source: RNAcentral